This 725-nucleotide ribosomal RNA is filed under the name uncultured Bacteroidales bacterium. Its description in RNAcentral is "bacterial SSU rRNA". It matches the Rfam family "Bacterial small subunit ribosomal RNA", at positions 62 to 774 of the family's 1533-position model. The record is from RNAcentral. Lineage: Bacteria; Pseudomonadati; Bacteroidota; Bacteroidia; Bacteroidales.
UCGAGGGGAAACGGCAUUGAGUGCUUGCACUCUUUGGACGUCGACCGGCGCACGGGUGAGUAACGCGUAUCCAACCUUCCCAUUACUGUGGGAUAACCUGCCGAAAGGCAGACUAAUACCGCAUAGUCUUCGAUGACGGCAUCAGAUUUGAAGUAAAGAUUUAUCGGUAAUGGAUGGGGAUGCGUCUGAUUAGCUUGUUGGCGGGGUAACGGCCCACCAAGGCAACGAUCAGUAGGGGUUCUGAGAGGAAGGUCCCCCACAUUGGAACUGAGACACGGUCCAAACUCCUACGGGAGGCAGCAGUGAGGAAUAUUGGUCAAUGGACGGAAGUCUGAACCAGCCAAGUAGCGUGCAGGAUGACGGCCCUAUGGGUUGUAAACUGCUUUUGUAUGGGGAUAAAGUUAGGGACGUGUCCCUAUUUGCAGGUACCAUACGAAUAAGGACCGGCUAAUUCCGUGCCAGCAGCCGCGGUAAUACGGAAGGUCCAGGCGUUAUCCGGAUUUAUUGGGUUUAAAGGGAGCGUAGGCUGGAGAUUAAGUGUGUUGUGAAAUGUAGACGCUCAACGUCUGAAUUGCAGCGCAUACUGGUUUCCUUGAGUACGCACAACGUUGGCGGAAUUCGUCGUGUAGCGGUGAAAUGCUUAGAUAUGACGAAGAACUCCGAUUGCGAAGGCAGCUGACGGGAGCGCAACUGACGCUUAAGCUCGAAGGUGCGGGUAUCAAACA